RNAcentral lists this ribosomal RNA (497 nucleotides) under uncultured bacterium. Its description in RNAcentral is "partial 16S ribosomal RNA". It matches the Rfam family "Bacterial small subunit ribosomal RNA", at positions 28 to 507 of the family's 1533-position model. The record is from RNAcentral.
GAUGAACGCUGGCGGCGUGCCUAAUACAUGCAAGUCGAGCGAACGGACGAGAAGCUUGCUUCUCUGAUGUUAGCGGCGGACGGGUGAGUAACACGUGGAUAACCUACCUAUAAGACUGGGAUAACUUCGGGAAACCGUAGCUAAUACCGGAUAAUAUUUUGAACCGCAUGGUUCAAAAGUGAAAGACGGUCUUGCUGUCACUUAUGGAUGGAUCCGCGCUGCAUUAUCUAGUUGGUAAGGUAACGGCUUACCAAGGCAACGAUGCAUAGCCGACCUGAGAGGGUGAUCGGCCACACUGGAACUGAGACACGGUCCAGACUCCUACGGGAGGCAGCAGUAGGGAAUCUUCCGCAAUGGGCGAAAGCCUGACGGAGCAACGCCGCGUGAGUGAUGAAGGUCUUCGGAUCGUAAAACUCUGUUAUUAGGGAAGAACAUAUGUGUAAGUAACUGUGCACAUCUUGACGGUACCUAAUCAGAAAGCCACGGCUAACUACGUG